AGACGAAGAUUAGAAUGAUUACAUUAGAAGAAAAAGAGAAUGAUGACAUUCAAAUGCAGCUGAAGAUUGUAGCCUGAUUUUCAUACAAAAGAAUGUAUGCCCAAGAAAGACCUGCUGCCACACCGGCACCUCCUCAUUUUAUUGAAAACCGAGUCUUAUUGGAUUUUAACUCGUCAAUGUCUGUCGAUUCAGUGUCGCCAUCUGCGUGAUAACCGAAGUUGGUAAUUCCGAUUGAUUUAUUUUCAACAUUGUUUGCCAACUUCCGGUGACUGCUAGCUCAGUACUUAUUCCCUGGAAUUUUUCGUGCAACUUCCCCGUGAACUUCUGGUACAACGUCAGCCCCGGAGAAUGCAGUACGAAAACAUAACCACGAAUUUUACGUUUCAAGCAGUUAUAUUAGUGCUACAACACUUGUGGAUGGAUCCAGUUGUGUAUUAGACGAACAACUUGACAUUUCCGCUAUGGUUUCUUCAUUAACGAUACUUUAUCGCUGGUUGAUUAUUCCCAUAGUGAUGAUAAAUCUUGUUGCAGCAGAAAAUCUUACACUUCCCUUCAAGAAUAGAAUGAAAGAUGUGCAUUUGAAGUUUGCAGUAUUUCAAUCACCGCCUUUUAACUUGGUUACUUUUAAACCUGACGGAAACUGCACUCAUUCCGGCCCCACUGCAAUUCUUAUAGAUUGGCUUGCGGAAAAACUCAAAUUCACAUUUUCUUACAUGUGCCUCAACCAUGCGAUAAGCGAGAAAUAUGGGAACCCCAUCGGACAUUCUAUUAAUCUCACAUCAAACAAAGAAGUCGACGGAGUAGCAGUAGCUUUUGUACCCACCCUGGAUCGGAAAAAAAAUGUGGAUUUUACUUAUUUCGUUUGGUCGGAAUAUUUUGCAAUGGUAGUGCCUCAACCAGGGGAAGAGACUCGGAUUUUUGCCUUCAUUCGGCCAUUUCAGUCAACGGUGUGGUUGUUCAUCUUCAUAACUAUCGUUGUCAUGGUGACUUUGAUGACUCUUUUCUCGAGAAUUUAUUCGAAGUACAUCACUGUCAAUGUGCUGGCUACCAACAAAGGAUUGACAAUGUUUGGGCGUGCCAGUAAUUAUUCAAUGUACAUCUUCAACAUUAUGACAAAUCAAGGGGGUGCAAUUUCUGGUGAUCGCUUUUCGUUCAGACUUCUAAUUGGAGUGUUGCUGUUAGUCGCCAUGGUCUUGGUUAAUAGUUAUUCCAGCACCAUCGUUUCCUAUCUGACGGUCUCCAAACUGAAACCUCCCAUUAACACAUUCGAAGACCUCGCCGCUAGCGACGACGUCGACCUCCUUGUCAAAAUUGACACUUAUGUUGGACAUGAGAUAUUGGGAGCAAAUUCUGGCGUUCUCAAGACCCUAGCGGACAAGGCUCGGCAGAAUCCUGAUCGCCUCUCGACAGACCAAUUGAAAAUCGAUGCUAAACUAGGAACUGGCCGUUUCGCUUAUGCCUGGCUUCAAACGUACUGCAAGUACUUCGUCAUCAGUCAGUAUAGAAAAGACGGAACUUGCCGUUUUCGUAUGUCCGACCCUCUACCUUUCAAUUUAGGAUUCUGGUCACUUAUUCUACAAAAGGACAGCCAAUACAAGUCAGCAAUUGACAGCGCUUUGAUUGAGCCCUGGGAAACUGGAAUACUAUUGUUCUGGAUGAAAAACGCAAUUCCACGAGCGCCAAAGUGCUUCGCUAAAACAAAACCGAGAGCGAAUUCGGCGGGUCAAAUGGCCAUUAAAUCCCGAGACCUGGUGGCUCCUUUCCUCAUUUUAGGCAUUGGUUUGGGCCUUGCUACGUUUGCCUUUCUAAUGGAAUUAGUUAUUCACUUUAGACGUCGAUUUAAAUUUGUGAACAUGUUUUACAAUUAGUGCGCAAUUUAAAAGACUGACGAUCAAACGGAUGACGGUAGUGGAGCGCUAACUUACAUUUACGCUCUUUUCGUCUAUUAGUUUUGCCUUAUAUUCGGACUAUUUUAGUAUAAUUCAUAUUUAUUUAACAUACUUACGAUAAUAAGUCACAGCAUAAGAGCACAUAUUUCUAUUUUACGUUUCCCUUGAUCUUCGUGUGGCUCAGUUGUAGCUGUAAUAUUCAGAGAAUGAAUACAGAUCAAGAAA
RNAcentral lists this unclassified non-coding RNA (2114 nucleotides) under Daphnia pulex (common water flea). RNAcentral's name for it is "glutamate receptor ionotropic, delta-1-like, transcript variant X1". Lineage: Eukaryota; Metazoa; Arthropoda; Branchiopoda; Diplostraca; Daphniidae. The record is from RNAcentral.